CAAUCCUCAAGCCUAGCUUGGUGUUGGGCCCGGCCCUGAGCGGCUGGCCCUAAAGUCAGUGGCGGUGCCGUCUGGCUCUGAGCGUAGUACACCUCUCGCUCCAGGGUCCCGCGGUGGCUUGCCAGAACCCCAACUCCUCU
This 140-nucleotide unclassified non-coding RNA is filed under the name uncultured Myxotrichaceae. RNAcentral's name for it is "sequence contains ITS2". Lineage: Eukaryota; Fungi; Ascomycota; Leotiomycetes; Myxotrichaceae. The record is from RNAcentral.